GGUAGGGUGGCUGAGUUAAGCGGUGGGUUGUAGCCCCAUAGACGGAGGUUUGAAUCCUCUCCCUGUCA
This 68-nucleotide transfer RNA is filed under the name Diretmus argenteus (silver spinyfin). RNAcentral describes it as "tRNA-Tyr". It matches the Rfam family "tRNA". From Rfam's summary of the family: Transfer RNA (tRNA) molecules are approximately 80 nucleotides in length. Their secondary structure includes four short double-helical elements and three loops (D, anti-codon, and T loops). Further hydrogen bonds mediate the characteristic L-shaped molecular structure. tRNAs have two regions of fundamental functional importance: the anti-codon, which is responsible for specific mRNA codon recognition, and the 3' end, to which the tRNAs corresponding amino acid is attached (by aminoacyl-tRNA synthetases). tRNAs cope with the degeneracy of the genetic code in two manners: having more than one tRNA (with a specific anti-codon) for a particular amino acid; and 'wobble' base-pairing, i.e. permitting non-standard base-pairing at the 3rd anti-codon position. The record is from RNAcentral. Lineage: Eukaryota; Metazoa; Chordata; Actinopteri; Trachichthyiformes; Diretmidae.